AUUAUUUUGGCAGAUAAGUGUAUUAAAUUUAGAAUUUAAAAAUAAAUGUAAUAUUUAAAUAAUA
RNAcentral lists this transfer RNA (64 nucleotides) under Sycobia sp. 2 JXW-2020. Its description in RNAcentral is "tRNA-Leu". The record is from RNAcentral. Lineage: Eukaryota; Metazoa; Arthropoda; Insecta; Hymenoptera; Epichrysomallidae.